UACGUAGGCGGCAAGCGUUGUCCGGAAUUAUUGGGCGUAAAGCGCGCGCAGGCGGUCCUUUAAGUCUGAUGUGAAAGCCCACGGCUCAACCGUGGAGGGUCAUUGGAAACUGGGGGACUUGAGUGCAGAAGAGGAAAGCGGAAUUCCACGUGUAGCGGUGAAAUGCGUAGAGAUGUGGAGGAACACCAGUGGCGAAGGCGGCUUUCUGGUCUGUAACUGACGCUGAGGCGCGAAAGCGUGGGGAGCAAACAGG
Molecule: ribosomal RNA, 253 nt
Filed under: uncultured bacterium
Lineage: Bacteria
Description: partial 16S ribosomal RNA
Rfam family: Bacterial small subunit ribosomal RNA
Source: RNAcentral